RNAcentral lists this ribosomal RNA (769 nucleotides) under uncultured bacterium. Its description in RNAcentral is "bacterial SSU rRNA". It matches the Rfam family "Bacterial small subunit ribosomal RNA", at positions 28 to 776 of the family's 1533-position model. The record is from RNAcentral.
AUUGAACGCUGGCGGCAGGCCUAACACAUGCAAGUCGAGCGGCAGCGACUUAACUGAACCUUCGGGGAACGUUAAGGGCGGCGAGCGGCGGACGGGUGAGUAAUGCCUGGGAAUAUGCCCUGAUGUGGGGGAUAACUAUUGGAAACGAUAGCUAAUACCGCAUAAUCUCUUCGGAGCAAAGAGGGGGACCUUCGGGCCUCUCGCGUCAGGAUUAGCCCAGGUGGGAUUAGCUUGUUGGUGAGGUAAUGGCUCACCAAGGCGACGAUCCCUAGCUGGUCUGAGAGGAUGAUCAGCCACACUGGAACUGAGACACGGUCCAGACUCCUACGGGAGGCAGCAGUGGGGAAUAUUGCACAAUGGGGGAAACCCUGAUGCAGCCAUGCCGCGUGUGUGAAGAAGGCCUUCGGGUUGUAAAGCACUUUCAGUAGGGAGGAAGGUAGUGUAGUUAACACCUGCAUUAUUUGACGCUACCUACAGAAGAAGCACCGGCUAACUCCGUGCCAGCAGCCGCGGUAAUACGGAGGGUGCGAGCGUUAAUCGGAAUUACUGGGCGUAAAGCGCAUGCAGGCGGCCUGUUAAGUCAGAUGUGAAAGCCCGGGGCUUAACCUCGGAAUUGCAUUUGAAACUGGCAGGCUAGAGUCUUGUAGAGGGGGGUAGAAUUUCAGGUGUAGCGGUGAAAUGCGUAGAGAUCUGAAGGAAUACCAGUGGCGAAGGCGGCCCCCUGGACAAAGACUGACGCUCAGAUGCGAAAGCGUGGGGAGCAAACAGG